GCCCUAGUAGCUUAACUUAAAGCAUUGUUCUUGUAAACCAAAGCCGGGAAACCCCCCUAGAGCA
RNAcentral lists this transfer RNA (64 nucleotides) under Leptodeira polysticta. RNAcentral describes it as "tRNA-Thr". It matches the Rfam family "tRNA". From Rfam's summary of the family: Transfer RNA (tRNA) molecules are approximately 80 nucleotides in length. Their secondary structure includes four short double-helical elements and three loops (D, anti-codon, and T loops). Further hydrogen bonds mediate the characteristic L-shaped molecular structure. tRNAs have two regions of fundamental functional importance: the anti-codon, which is responsible for specific mRNA codon recognition, and the 3' end, to which the tRNAs corresponding amino acid is attached (by aminoacyl-tRNA synthetases). tRNAs cope with the degeneracy of the genetic code in two manners: having more than one tRNA (with a specific anti-codon) for a particular amino acid; and 'wobble' base-pairing, i.e. permitting non-standard base-pairing at the 3rd anti-codon position. The record is from RNAcentral. Lineage: Eukaryota; Metazoa; Chordata; Lepidosauria; Squamata; Dipsadidae.